GACGAACGCUGGCGGCGUGCCUAACACAUGCAAGUCGAACGAGACCUUCGGGUCUAGGUGCGCACGGGUGCGUGACGCGGGGGAACCUGCCCUUGGGUUCGGAAUACCUCCCCGAAAGGGGUGCUAAUACCAGUGAAUGUCUUCGGACCAAAGAUUUCUCGCCUUUGGAUGGGCCCGCGUUGGAUUAGCUGGUUGGUAGGGUAAAAGCAUACCAAGGAGACGAUCCAGAGCUGGUCGGGGAAGAGGAUCAGCCACACUGGGACUGAGACACGGCCCAGACUCCUAGGCGAGGCAGCAGUGGGGAAUAUUAGACAAUGAGCGAAAGCCUGAUCCAGCAAUGCCGCGGGAGUGAUGAAGGCCUUAGGGUUGUAAAGUUCUUUUACCCGGGAUGAUAAUGACAGUACUGGGAGAAUAAGCUCCGGCUAACUCCGUG
RNAcentral lists this ribosomal RNA (433 nucleotides) under uncultured bacterium. RNAcentral's name for it is "partial 16S ribosomal RNA". It matches the Rfam family "Bacterial small subunit ribosomal RNA", at positions 28 to 507 of the family's 1533-position model. The record is from RNAcentral.